Sinocyclocheilus rhinocerous is the source of this 95-nucleotide long non-coding RNA. RefSeq lists it as uncharacterized. The record is from RefSeq and is a predicted model, not a curated record. NCBI's taxonomy places the organism in Eukaryota, Metazoa, Chordata, Actinopteri, Cypriniformes, Cyprinidae. The transcript has 3 exons.
AAAAAGAUCAAGCCAGAGGGAAAAAACUAUUUUCAGAGCUGGAGAAAGUGUGGAGAUCACCUGCUCUGAAAAAAGCUGCUUACUUUUGUACCAAA